RNAcentral lists this long non-coding RNA (245 nucleotides) under Lathyrus oleraceus (garden pea). RNAcentral's name for it is "Pisum sativum (pea) long non-coding RNA (PSAT_LNC011373)". Lineage: Eukaryota; Viridiplantae; Streptophyta; Magnoliopsida; Fabales; Fabaceae. The record is from RNAcentral.
UUUUUUUUGUUUUAAUGUGUGUAAUUUAUGGUAGUCCUUACUGAUGCCUUUUUGUAAUAUUUUGGGCUCUUAAUGAGUUCCAUGGAUUUGUUCAUUAUCUCAGCUAUCACAGUUGUAAGAACAAAAAUUGUUCUACAACAGAUUCCUUGAUUUUGAUGAUAACAAAGGAUGAAACCAAAAAUGGCACCCUAACGAAAAGUUUCUAAGUGUGCAGGAUUCUAAAGAAAGAAGGAAGAAAUAUGAUG